GUAAGCAACGUGCCCCAAAGACUGGGAUAGCCCGGGGAAACCCGGAGUAAUACUGGAUGUGGCCCUCAUCUGGCAUCAGGAGAGGAUCAAAUGGUUUUUCGCUUUGGGAGCGGCUUACGGCCUAUCAGGUAGUUGGUGAGGUAAAGGCUCACCAAGCCGACGACGGGUAGCGGGUCUGAGAGGAUGACCCGCUCGAGUGGGACUGAGACACGGCC
This 215-nucleotide ribosomal RNA is filed under the name uncultured bacterium. RNAcentral's name for it is "partial 16S ribosomal RNA". It matches the Rfam family "Bacterial small subunit ribosomal RNA", at positions 117 to 331 of the family's 1533-position model. The record is from RNAcentral.